Molecule: long non-coding RNA, 262 nt
Organism: Rana temporaria (common frog)
Lineage: Eukaryota; Metazoa; Chordata; Amphibia; Anura; Ranidae
Exons: 3
Source: RefSeq, a predicted model, not a curated record
AUUCAGCUAGGUGUGAAUACAGGACUCGAGGUUGAAUCAGUCAUCAUGAUGUCAGCACCUCCGGGCACACCUCCAGAGACAGCUAGCUAUCACGUCAAUAAGGCACCGUGUAAUUCCAUACCAAUCUAAUUGGAUAUCAUCAGCAAGGUUCACUACAUGGGACAAGUCCAGGAUUCAAAACAUCUGGAUGAAAAGAAGGCUUUUUCAUGUUCUUAUCAAGUUCUGGAACUAAACAACUGAUUAACUACUUCUUGACCAGACC